RNAcentral lists this ribosomal RNA (362 nucleotides) under Morganella morganii. Its description in RNAcentral is "partial 23S ribosomal RNA". It matches the Rfam family "Bacterial large subunit ribosomal RNA", at positions 911 to 1269 of the family's 2925-position model. Lineage: Bacteria; Pseudomonadati; Pseudomonadota; Gammaproteobacteria; Enterobacterales; Morganellaceae. The record is from RNAcentral.
UGUUUCGGCUAGGGGGUCAUCCCGACUUACCAACCCGAUGCAAACUGCGAAUACCGGAGAAUGUUAUCACGGGAGACACACGGCGGGUGCUAACGUUCGUCGUGAAGAGGGAAACAACCCAGACCGCCGGCUAAGGUCCCAAAGUCAUAAUUAAGUGGGAAACGAAGUGGGAAGGCUCAGACAGCCAGGAUGUUGGCUUAGAAGCAGCCAUCAUUUAAAGAAAGCGUAAUAGCUCACUGGUCGAGUCGGCCUGCGCGGAAGAUGUAACGGGGCUAAAUUAUGCACCGAAGCCGCGGCAGCGAUAUGUAAAUAUUGUUGGGUAGGGGAGCGUUCUGUAAGCCUGUGAAGGUGGCCUGUGAGGG